UACGUAGGGUGCGAGCGUUAAUCGGAAUUACUGGGCGUAAAGGGUGCGCAGGCGGUUCUGCAAGUCAGGCGUGAAAGCCCCGGGCUUAACCUGGGAAUGGCGCUUGAAACUACAGGACUGGAGUAUGGCAGAGGGAGGUGGAAUUCCACGUGUAGCGGUGAAAUGCGUAGAGAUGUGGAGGAACACCGAUGGCGAAGGCAGCCUCCUGGGCCAACACUGACGCUCAUGCACGAAAGCGUGGGGAGCAAACAGG
RNAcentral lists this ribosomal RNA (253 nucleotides) under uncultured bacterium. Its description in RNAcentral is "partial 16S ribosomal RNA". It matches the Rfam family "Bacterial small subunit ribosomal RNA", at positions 524 to 776 of the family's 1533-position model. The record is from RNAcentral.